This 681-nucleotide ribosomal RNA is filed under the name uncultured Bacteroidales bacterium. RNAcentral's name for it is "bacterial SSU rRNA". It matches the Rfam family "Bacterial small subunit ribosomal RNA", at positions 66 to 735 of the family's 1533-position model. The record is from RNAcentral. Lineage: Bacteria; Pseudomonadati; Bacteroidota; Bacteroidia; Bacteroidales.
GGGGCAGCAUUUUAGUUUGCUCGCAAACUGAAGAUGGCGACCGGCGCACGGGUGAGUAACACGUAUCCAACCUGCCGAUAACUCCGGGAUAGCCUUUCGAAAGAAAGAUUAAUACCGGAUGGCAUACGAAUAUCGCAUGAUAUUUUUAUUAAAGAAUUUCGGUUAUCGAUGGGGAUGCGUUCCAUUAGUUUGUUGGCGGGGUAACGGCCCACCAAGACUACGAUGGAUAGGGGUUCUGAGAGGAAGGUCCCCCACAUUGGAACUGAGACACGGUCCAAACUCCUACGGGAGGCAGCAGUGAGGAAUAUUGGUCAAUGGGCGAGAGCCUGAACCAGCCAAGUAGCGUGAAGGAUGAAGGCUCUAUGGGUCGUAAACUUCUUUUAUAUGGGAAUAAAGUUUUCCACGUGUGGAAUUUUGUAUGUACCAUAUGAAUAAGGAUCGGCUAACUCCGUGCCAGCAGCCGCGGUAAUACGGAGGAUCCGAGCGUUAUCCGGAUUUAUUGGGUUUAAAGGGAGCGUAGGUGGAUUGUUAAGUCAGUUGUGAAAGUUUGCGGCUCAACCGUAAAAUUGCAGUUGAAACUGGCAGUCUUGAGUACAGUAGAGGUGGGCGGAAUUCGUGGUGUAGCGGUGAAAUGCUUAGAUAUCACGAAGAACUCCGAUUGCGAAGGCAGCUCACUAGACU